GACGAACGCUGGCGGCGUGCUUAACACAUGCAAGUCGAACGGAAAGGCCCUGCUUUUGUGGGGUGCUCGAGUGGCGAACGGGUGAGUAACACGUGAGUAACCUGCCCUUGACUUUGGGAUAACUUCAGGAAACUGGGGCUAAUACCGGAUAGGAGCUCCUGCUGCAUGGUGGGGUUUGGAAAGUUUCGGCGGUUGGGGAUGGACUCGCGGCUUAUCAGCUUGUUGGUGGGGUAGUGGCUUACCAAGGCUUUGACGGGUAGCCGGCCUGAGAGGGUGACCGGCCACAUUGGGACUGAGAUACGGCCCAGACUCCUACGGGAGGCAGCAGUGGGGAAUAUUGCACAAUGGGCGGAAGCCUGAUGCAGCAACGCCGCGUGCGGGAUGACGGCCUUCGGGUUGUAACCCGCUUUCGCCUGUGACGAAGCGUGAGUGACGGUAAUGGGUAAAGAAGCACCGGCUAACUACGUG
RNAcentral lists this ribosomal RNA (468 nucleotides) under uncultured bacterium. RNAcentral describes it as "partial 16S ribosomal RNA". It matches the Rfam family "Bacterial small subunit ribosomal RNA", at positions 28 to 507 of the family's 1533-position model. The record is from RNAcentral.